This 460-nucleotide ribosomal RNA is filed under the name uncultured bacterium. Its description in RNAcentral is "partial 16S ribosomal RNA". It matches the Rfam family "Bacterial small subunit ribosomal RNA", at positions 338 to 795 of the family's 1533-position model. The record is from RNAcentral.
CCUACGGGCGGCAGCAGUGAGGAAUAUUGGUCAAUGGGCGCGAGCCUGACCCAGCAAAGUAGCGUGAAGGAUGACUGCCCUACGGGUUGUAAACUUCUUUUAUAAAGGAAUAAAGUGAGGCUCGUGUGCCUUUUUGUCUGUACUUUAUGCAUAAGGAUCGGCUAACUCCGUGCCAGCAGCCGCGGUAAUACGGAGGAUCCGAGCGUUAUCCGGAUUUAUUGGGUUUAAAGGGAGCGUAGAUGGGUUGUUAAGUCAGUUGUGAAGGUUUGCGGCUCAACCGUAAAAUUGCAAUUGAUACUGGCAGCCUUGAGUACAGGUGAGGUAAGCGGAAUUCGUGGUGUAGCGGUGAAAUGCUUAGAUAUCACGAAGAACUCCGAUGGCGAAGGCAGCCUACUAAACUGCCACUGACAUUGAUGCUCGAAAGUGUGGGGAUCAAACAGGAUUAGAUACCCGAGUAGUC